GUUUGACCUGUUUAAUGAACUUCAUUGUCAUUUAAUUGAAUCACUGGUGAUUGUCUUUAACAUGUUUGUAACAUGUGGGAUAUCAGUGAGUGAUUAUUGCUAUGGGUUGUCUGUUACUAUAACUUCAGGAGAUGCCACAUUAUUAUUAUAGUCCACACCUGGACCGUCUUGGUUAAUGGUGGUGGAAAUAGGUAGAAGUUGCCCCUAACCACUGAUACAGGGUCAGAUAUUAGUUCAUCCCCUUAUUGUUUAAGGUUAGAAUAAAGGGUUGAGUAAUCUGAUCCUAGAUCUGUGGUUAGGGGCGACUUCUACCUCAAGGUGUAAAACAUGAGCUUGUGGGUUGACAGGAACCAUAACGUGACCAUGAAGGGCUGUUUUAGCUUCAAAGAUGUUCUCAUAAAUGACGAGACAAACCUCUAAGUCAAUGACUAUGGCAUCAAAGGUAAGCCUAACGGCACAGCAAUAAAUGUUCUAUGUGUUUGCCCUGAGCACAUGAUGUCAUAGUAGUUCUUAUCUCACCACAGUAUAAUUGUAGCCUGUUGUAUCAUGUCCUUUUUCUGACAAAACAACAAUGUCAUUGUGGAGUUUUUCUGCCUUCUGAACUAACAGUCAAUCAGAAUACAUUUCUGACUUCCCGGAGACCAAUCAGGAGAGAGCUGGGCUGCCAUUGGAUCAGAUGAACACGAGACUAAGUACUUGAUCACAGCUGUGAGAAACCUUGACAAAAAGCUCACACUUCCACACACCUGAGGCCCAACACACACGCACGUGCACUCGCGUCAAGGCUGCUUAUGGAAAACCACUGCUGUCAUCCGUCAAGGCCAUUUGUGGAGCCCUGGGAUUUAACCAGCGACACCAGAGACAAAGAUAAAGGAAGAUUAUAGAAGCAGCACAACAAAAGAACCAGCAGACAAACUGAGUAACAGAGGACUGAAUAAGAUCAGGAAAUGGCUGUUGAUCCACAACCCUGAGGAGAUUUGAACAGAAACCAAAAUGUGUUCUGAUUCUCUCUCGCUCCCCCUCUCUCCUCUCUCCCUCUCUCUCUCUCUCCUUCCCUGAUUUGAUUUUAGCUUUGUAAAGGUG
RNAcentral lists this long non-coding RNA (1083 nucleotides) under Salmo salar (Atlantic salmon). RNAcentral's name for it is "lncRNA (ENSSSAG00000085575.1)". The record is from RNAcentral. Lineage: Eukaryota; Metazoa; Chordata; Actinopteri; Salmoniformes; Salmonidae.